CAUCGGCGGGUGCCACCAAAGGAAGAGUAAAGAAGGGAUCCCGGGCGGGCAUAGAAUAUGCAGAAUCCCGUAUUGUGACGAAAACCUCUGUAACAACGGCUGGUGUGAAGAGACUAUGGUAGGCUACAACUGUACCUGCUCAAGUGGGUUUCAAGGGAGACACUGCGAUGAAAUGAUCAUACAGUCAACGACGGAAGCGACGACCAA
Molecule: long non-coding RNA, 207 nt
Filed under: Strongylocentrotus purpuratus (purple sea urchin)
Lineage: Eukaryota; Metazoa; Echinodermata; Echinoidea; Camarodonta; Strongylocentrotidae
Description: uncharacterized LOC115923332
Source: RNAcentral